GGGGCUGUGGCUCAGUGGAAGGGCACUUGCCUAGCAUGUAUGAGGCACUGGGUUCGAGUCUCAGCACCA
Molecule: transfer RNA, 69 nt
Filed under: Ictidomys tridecemlineatus (thirteen-lined ground squirrel)
Lineage: Eukaryota; Metazoa; Chordata; Mammalia; Rodentia; Sciuridae
Description: Spermophilus tridecemlineatus (thirteen-lined ground squirrel) tRNA
Rfam family: tRNA
About the family: Transfer RNA (tRNA) molecules are approximately 80 nucleotides in length. Their secondary structure includes four short double-helical elements and three loops (D, anti-codon, and T loops).
Source: Rfam by way of RNAcentral